AAUAGAUACCCGGUAGUCCAUGCCGUAAACGAUGUCUACUAGCCGUUGGGUCCUUUGAGGACUUAGUGGCGCAGCUAACGCGAUAAGUAGACCGCCUGGGGAGUACGGUCGCAAGACUAAAACUCAAAUGAAUUGACGGGGGCCCGCACAAGCGGUGGAGCAUGUGGUUUAAUUCGAUGCAACGCGAAGAACCCUUACCUGGCCUUGACAUACUAGAAACUUUCCAGAGAUGGAUUGGUGCCUUCGGGAAUCUAGAUACAGGUGCUGCAUGGCUGUCGUCAGCUCGUGUCGUGAGAUGUUGGGUUAAGUCCCGCAACGAGCGCAACCCUUUUCCUUACUUGCCAGCAUUUUGGAUGGGAACUUUAAGGAUACUGCCAGUGACAAACUGGAGGAAGGCGGGGACGACGUCAAGUCAUCAUGGCCCUUACGGCCAGGGCUACACACGUGCUACAAUGGUCGGUACAAAGGGUUGCUACCUAGCGAUAGGAUGCUAAUCUCAAAAAGCCGAUCGUAGUCCGGAUUGGAGU
RNAcentral lists this ribosomal RNA (527 nucleotides) under uncultured bacterium. Its description in RNAcentral is "bacterial SSU rRNA". It matches the Rfam family "Bacterial small subunit ribosomal RNA", at positions 777 to 1304 of the family's 1533-position model. The record is from RNAcentral.